Molecule: long non-coding RNA, 6188 nt
Organism: Alligator mississippiensis (American alligator)
Lineage: Eukaryota; Metazoa; Chordata; Crocodylia; Alligatoridae
Exons: 3
Source: RefSeq, a predicted model, not a curated record
UAAGCAGCUCCAUCGUCCUCCAUGUGGGUGGUCUGGCUCUCAAUAGGCAGGACCUGUCAGGGUCACGUGAUGAAUCCGAAAACUUUACCCCUUUACAAUAAACUCAAGGAAAGCAAAGUAAACUCCAGGAACGUGCUAUCAGCAGAGCCCUCCUGGGUAAACAGGCAGCUCCCUGCUUCAGACCCCCUUCAGCUCCCAGAGGCCAGCUCAGGAGACAGUCACUGCUGUAACCUCCCAGGCCUGCGAUGGACAAAGAGGACACAGGAUCCUCUUUUCUUUCUCCCCCCUCUAGGCUGUUCCUUUCAAACCAUGGCAGUCCAAGCAGAUCUCAUUUCAGCUUGUAAGGAGCUUGGGUGAGCUCCCUCAAGCUGCGGAGGAGGUACAAUGUGAGAGGUGCCAGGUGUUGGAACGCAGCUCCCCUGGUUUAAAUAAAUACCCAGUCCCAUGGAUAUGAAAAGAAAGGAGAUGGACAGUUUUCCUCUGGCGAAAUGUUUACCAGUCCACCCGGUGCUGGGUUGAAAGAAAGCUUGGGCCUGCAAGAUUUAUGCCGACGCUUGUCAUUUUUGCUAGGGGUCACUAGGAAGUUACUUGUCUCCUGGGUGGCGAAACAAUGCCAAACCCAGUGAUUAGCCCCUCUGAAGGAACAUCUGAUUAUUACUUCUAAGGCAAUACACCCCACUCUGUGAUGCUCUAAGAAGCACAUCUCCUCCCUUAUUUCCCCCAUAGGAUACUAGCACUAUAAGCAUUUAGUGAUGAUUUAGUAUCUUGCUGUCUCCAUGUAACAUGGAAGAAGUUGCUUAGAGUACUGCUUAACUGCUACAGAGUAUUGCACAGCAUGAAUGUGGAAGAAGUCUCUGAAAGAGGUUUCAUGGUUUGGUUAUGAGAGAUGUGAGGUCUGCUAAUUCUGCUCCGUCAUCAGGUUGUACAUUUCAUUUGCUCAAUAAAUACAAUCUCUUCAUGAUAAAAUGGGCCAAGAAGUAAAUGAAGUGUCAUUUGUAUGAAAUGAAAUGUUUGUGUCCAGCUGUCAAGAUUUCUUUAUAUUGGCCUUCAGUUCAGAAACUCUGCUUACCACUUUUCUUUGUGCAGUUUCCAUGUGAGGGUUUUUUUAAAGAUCCUUCUAACAAUCUUAUAUCUGGAGUACUCUUAUUAUAUAGUCCCAUUCAUUGACAGUAACUUGCAUUUUUAAGGUUAAUCCAUUGUCUAUAGGGUUAAACUUUUCAGAGUUAUAUAUGACAAACUCUUGGGUUAUCUCUAUAUCAGAAGGCUUUAAAUGACAUAAUUCUGGCCAUAUCUUUAUUUGCAUAGGACCAGACUGGGCACAAAAAUAAUGAGUAACAAAGAUAUUUCACUUGUGAAACAAAUAUUAUUUUGUCAUGGAAGAGGGCAUCUGUACUUUUGCUGUAGUAAGGACAAAAAGGUGGUAGGGCAUGGAAAAAAAGUCUCAAAGGAUGUUUUUAAGAGUGGCUGCACAAUAUAUAUUACUGUGCUUCUACAUCUGCACCCCAAUAAGAAAUGAUGGAAUUAGAUGAUCAAAAGCAGAAGGCAGCAGGAUGAUCCAGAGAUUCAUAGACUACAAAGCUAGAAGGGACUGUUAGGAUCAUCUGGUUUGACCUCCUGUAUCAAAUUGGCCAUUGGAUGUCCCUAAGUAUAAUUCUUUUAGAUCAAUAUCAUACCCUUUAGAAUAAAAAAAUACCAAAUCUUCAUUUAAAAUUUCCAAAUCAUGGCAAAUGCACCAUGACCCUUGGUAAGUUGUUCCAAUGGUUAAAUACUUCUUUUCAGAAUGUAUUAUCUCCAUAAAGCUCUGCCGUGGAAAUGCAUGCCUAACCAUGUUAGCCACGAAACCAUUUUUAGUAGGAGGAGGCAGAACAAUGGAAUAGGAGAGUAAAGUAGUAAAGAACUGUGCAACUCUUAUGCUAAGCAAGAGGGGAUGAAGGCAGAAUAGUACUUCAACAUAAGUAUGGAAAAGAAAUGGAGAGAGGUGUUCUAUGGAUGGAUGAAAUUAGCAUGAAUAUAGAAAGAGGGAUGAAACUUGGAUCUUUAUGUCAUGAAGGAUCAGAGGACACACUAUCAGAAUAUGAUGAUGUUAUAGAGGCCCAAACGUAUCACAGUGAACCAAUAAUAAAUCCCAGAGACCUCAUGUUCUCUCUUCCUUACCACUUACAACUUCAGUGAGAAUUGUUCUUGCCCUGGGAAACUGUUCAGCAAUUUUUAGUCCCAGCCCAGUGCUUUACCCACUGUAACCAUACUGCCUACUCCUAAAUGAAGAAAAACUGGAACAAGUAAUAUUGUCAGGAGAUGAAGGGAUGGCACGAUCUGACAGAGAGGUACAGAAACAUAGUAACGUUUGAAUGAAGAUUAGAUGCAAUAUUGCAGAAAAUGAGAUAGGGAAGCUUGACAAUCCACCUGGUGGCAUCUUUCUUUGUUUUAUAAUACAGGCUUUUAAGCAUCGACUAAUAGAAUAAUAUGGCUAGAAGGGACCUCUGGAGGUCUUUUAGUCCAACACCCUGCUCACAGCAGGAUCUUCCUUGACUAAACCAUCCCAGCAAAGUCUCUGUCUAGGCUGCGCUCAAAAAAGUCCGAGGAUGGAGAUUCUAUAACUUGUCUGGGCAGCCUGUUCUAAUGCUUAACCACCCUCACAGUGAGGAAGUACUUCCUAAUACCCAACCUACAUUUCCCCUGAUGCACUUUGAGACUAUUGCUCCUAUUUCUGUAUACUGUGACUACAGAGAAUAGUCUACCCAUUUUCUUUAUAACCACUUUUCAGGUACUUGACUGUUAUAAAAUCUCCCCUUGUUCUUUCUUUUUUCAAGACUAAAUGAUCCUAGUUCUUUCAUACUUUCCUCAUAAGGCAAGUUUCCCAGGCCUCUAACCACUUUGUCUUUCUCUGUUGACUCUCUGUAAUUUGUUCACAUCUUUGUUGAAGCAAGGGGCCCAAAACUGGAAACAGUAAAACAGAAGUGAAAUACAGAGCAAAUCUGAUGUUCUUGCUGCAACCUGCAUUUUAAAAUACCUCUAUAUGUUUUUGGAAAAGAGUAGACCAUACUCCUCCAUCUUUGUUUACAACAUCUAACAGCUGUAAAAUCUCAUGACUCGGCUUUUACAUAGGCAUUAUUUUGCAAUACAACAUUAAUAAGGCUUUCAGGGAAAUUUACCUUUAUGCAUCAUUAGGUGAAGUGAGAAUUUAAAGUACUUAAGACUACCUCUGAAGGGACCCAUUAGAAGAAAAGCUUUGUUAAUUACUUAAGGGACUUAGAACUCAAGGACCUAGGUUAAAGAGACUGCUAAAAUCAUAUUGCUAGUCUUUGCUCAGGGAAUUGGGAAGAAUUAUUAGGGGUGGAUCCUUAGGAGAUGUGAGUUGACAUAGCUCUACUGAAAUUUCAGAGACAUGCUGAUUUCCACCAACUGAGAAUCUGUAUCCAUCUACUUAUUUUACAAAAGGGUCUCUAAUAUCUAUUUUUUUGUUCUGAGGGCCUCACUAAGCUAAAGGAUCAGGUGGCAGGUGGAGGAUACAAGGAGUACCGGCUCCACUCGUGGGUGAGGUAGUUAAGUGAGCCAUCAUUGGAAAACACCAAGAUUCCAGGUGAGAGAUGGAUCUUUUUGAAGUCCUGAGGCUUUGCUGCUGUUAGCUGGAUAUCCCAAAUUUUGUAAGGCGGGUAUAUUUUCUUUGAACGGGUCUCCCUUGGCCCUCACUGUGAGGCAGAGAACACCGAGGAGAAAGAAGAAUUUAAAGAAAAGGUAGCAAUCACUCCUUGCUAUAAUGGAUUAUUCCACCAUGAGGAAAACUAAUCCCCUUCUCUUCAGUUGCCAAUCAGAACUCAACAAUGUUCCAAGAAAUCCACAAGAUGACACUCUUCACAAGAUAAGGGAGGUUCAGAGCAUGGGGGAAUCCUCCAUGCUGGCUGGCUGGCGAGGGAGUCCUGAUUUAUGAGGGUUUCAAGUUGCCCUGGAGUGGUUCCUGAGAUUUCAGCACCUGUGCCAUAACAGCACCAUUUUUUCCUCUUUCAUUAUGCAAUAAGCUGUUGACCUAUAAACUGAGCAAAACUGACACGGAAGUUAUAUAUGUAUCACCAGGGAGUCAUUUUUAACUCUUAUUCCUUAAUAAAUGUCCUUGGAACUACUUUUUUAUAUGGGAGGAAAAGCAUGAAGUACAUUGAAUAAGAAAGCCCUCAUAGCCAGAAUUCCUUUUAUUUUAGUAUAAGUUACCACAGUACAUAGAAACUCCCUUAGCUGUUUAGCUGACCAUAAUGUUUAUAUGAGACCACAGCAAGACUAUGUUAUGAAUGUAUAUUUUUAAAUAUUAAUUCUGUUUUUAAAGAGAAAAAGAACACAUCUGUUUGAGCAUAAUGUUCUACAUAUUAACUUUUCGCUGUAAAUACAACUCAGGAUGAAGGAAAAAAGUUGUCUGGGAUACCACAAGAUAUAGAUACAAUCAUUUAAGAAUACAUGAAAUGGCCAUUCCUUCUCCAAACUGAUCUAUAUCAAGUCAUUUGAAAACAUAAUGAGCUAAAUUGUCUGCUGACUUUUAUCCGAAACGUAGUCCUUGAAACUACACAGGGCAUAAAUCAAUGGAGAAUUUGUCCCAGAGUUCCAAACCAGAGAGGAGAUUACACAGGUCUGAAGUCAAUAGUAUGCAGAAAUAAUUUAGGGCCUUAGGAUCUCACAGUUUCAGCAAUGACUAAAAUGAUAACUGGUGAGGAAAAGGAGGCUAAACUAAAAAGUAGAGGUGGAAGAACCUUGACAUAUUGUAGAAGGUUGAUUUAGACAACCACCUCUAAGUCUAGAUAUGAAUUUGAAGGAAAGUCUCUUAGGGGCUCUACUAUACAUGGAAAUUAAUUUGAAGUAGAAUCUGAAUUUAUAAUGCAACAGCUAUUUCUGAAUGAACACUCGUAUUCCAGAAUAAAGGGGCCACUUUCUUUCAAAAUGAAUUAGGCUAAACUAAAAGAAGCCACUCUUAUUUUGGAGUGUCUGUACCUGCAGCUAUUCAUGAAUAGUUCUGGAACAACUCCAUGUGUAGACAAGCUCUCACAUUGUGCUUAAUUUAAUGGGGUCUCCACUCUGACUGGGGCUUUUUUGUGGCCCCCCCAUAUCGAUAGUAAAUAAUAGUGUUUGUUGUCUACAGUGCUGACCCAUAGAGAGACUGUAUCCUAUACCAUGCUUAAUGCAACGGAACUGCAAUACAAAUAAUUCAUGAUAACUCUUAAUAAUAAAUGUUUGUGUGCUGAUCUAAAACUGCUACAGAUCUCUUCAGUUUGUAAAACUGGGCUGUAAAUCUCAUGUGUAGAAGAGACUGCUUGAAAUUUCCAGUACUUCUUGCUGCUGGACAGGCUGACAAUCCUGUAUAAACCAGUUUUUCUCAUGGCAUUUCAAUACUUCCAGUUCAGAAUCCUGGCAGGACCCUGGAUAUCAAGGGUUAGGCAAAAAUGUAAAAUAAUAGUAAUAAAAAACAAUUACAAAGUUUUUUCAAACUUCCAGAAAGGUCUCUUCUUUGUCUGCUUUGAGCUCAUAUUCAUUCUGAACUGAUCUGCUAGUAAUUUUGGGUGUGACAUGACUAAAGGGGGGAGAUGUUAAUUGUUUUCUCUCUGGAAGAAGCAGGAGAUUCCAAGGGCAAAAAACAAAAUGUAAAGCAGACGCUUCUUAGGAUCACAUUAGGGAUUAUAUCCUAACUUUAAGAGGCAAAUAGCACUGAUUAAUGGGUAUAUUUGGCUGGUACUGGUUGAGUGGUUUUCAAUAGUUGCCUCAGCUUAGUGCUUCAUGAAACUAAGCUGCAGCUUUGUAAUGUAAAGGCUGCUUUUUAACAGUCAGUAGGCAUAAAGCACUACAGAAAUGAAGGGUCCUUUAGAAUGAAUUUGGGACUCAUGGAACAUUAUUGAAAUUGUUUUAAGAUUUUCCUUUUUAAAACAGUUUAUCUUUGAAGAUGAAGAAAGAAUGUCUUUGUCUGUGAUUCACAAGUUCAUAUAUGGAAAAGUUUGCUUCUUUCAUAUAGACAAUAAUAAUGAAAAAAGACGACGUUGAUGUACGGUAUAGUAAAUACUAUUUAUUACUUUUUACAAGGGAAGACUUAUGGUAUACUAUACAUCAAUCACUUCAAGAUGAGAACAGACCAAAAAACCUAUCAGAAAUGUUGAAAAGCUUUUCUCUAGAGAGCACGACUUGAAAUGUCUUUUGCAUACAAUAAAAAUAAACCUUGA